This 484-nucleotide ribosomal RNA is filed under the name uncultured bacterium. RNAcentral describes it as "partial 16S ribosomal RNA". It matches the Rfam family "Bacterial small subunit ribosomal RNA", at positions 30 to 507 of the family's 1533-position model. The record is from RNAcentral.
AUUGAACGCUGGCGGCAGGCCUAACACAUGCCAGUCGAGCGGAUGAAGGGAGCUUGCUCCUGGAUGCCGCGGCGGACGGGUGAGUAAUGCCUAGGAAUCUGCCUGGUUGUGGGGGAUAACGUCCGGAAACGGGCGCUAAUACCGCAUACGUCCUGAGGGUGAAAGUGGGGGAUCUUCGGACCUUCUGCUAUCAGAUGAGCAUAGGUCGGAUUAGCUAGUUGGUGGGGUAAAUGCCUACCAAGGCGACGAUCCGUAACUGGUCUGAGAGGAUGAUCAGCCACCCUGGAAGUGAGACACGGUCCCGACUCCUACGGGGAGCAGCAGUGGGGAAUCUUGGACAAUGGAGGAAAGCCUGAUCCAGCAAUGCCGCGUGUGUCAAGAAGGUCUUCGGAUUGGAAAGCACUUUAAGUUGGGAGGAAGGGCAGUAAGUUAAUACCUUGCUGUAUUGACGGUACCAACAGAAUAAGCACCGGCUAACUUCGUG